CGUGUAGGCGGAUGGGAACGUCGGUAGUUGAAAGCCCCCGGCUCAACCGGGGAAGUGGUGCCGAAACGACCCGUCUGGAGGGACGUAGGGGGACCUGGAACUUCCGGUGGAGCGGUGAAAUGCGUUGAGAUCGGAAGGAACGCCCGUGGCGAAAGCGAGGUCCUGGACGUCUACUGACGCUGAGACGCGAAAGCUAGGGGAGCAAACG
RNAcentral lists this ribosomal RNA (208 nucleotides) under uncultured bacterium. RNAcentral's name for it is "partial 16S ribosomal RNA". It matches the Rfam family "Bacterial small subunit ribosomal RNA", at positions 568 to 774 of the family's 1533-position model. The record is from RNAcentral.